This 1914-nucleotide ribosomal RNA is filed under the name Dactylomonas crassa. RNAcentral's name for it is "partial small subunit ribosomal RNA". It matches the Rfam family "Eukaryotic small subunit ribosomal RNA". The record is from RNAcentral. Lineage: Eukaryota; Heterolobosea; Selenaionea; Selenaionida; Selenaionidae.
UGUGUCAGAACUGAUUCGUCUAACGAAUAUCAAAUCUGUGGAUGGCUCCAUAAACAAGUGGGAACCUACCGUUUCUGUUAAUUAGAAGGAUAACCGUGCCAACGGCACGGAUAAUACUUGCAAAACGGAGACGCUCUCCUGGCGAUCACCAUUGUCGAGUCAAGGUGAUCACUCCGGUAUCGUUUCACGAUGAUACCGGUGUAGACCAUUUGCAACACCCAAGUGUGAAACCGUUAUUGGUGUCACUCUCCGGAGGGACUCAGUAGCGGGAGAACGGCGGGGAUGAAGGCCUUCUUAUCUAUCAGCUUUGGUUGAAAGGCUAUUGUCCUUUCAAGGCGACCACGGGUACGGAUGAUUAGUGUCAGAUUCCGGAGAAGGAGCCAGAGUAAAGGCUACUACAUCUAAGGACGGCAGCAGGCGCGCAAACUUCCCAAUCUCAAUUCGAGGAGGAGGUGACGAGAAAUACCGAUCUCCUGCAAAAGUAGGAGAGUAUCGCAAGAUUUGGAAUGUGUUCAACUUAGAAUAUUGGACGAGCAGCAAUUGGAGGGCAAGUCUGGUGCCAGCAGCCGCGGUAAUACCAGCUCCAAUAGCGUAUUCUAACAUUGAUGCGUUUAACGUUCGUAGCUGUCACAAGAUGACCGAGAUAGGGUUCGGUAAUCGCUCACUGUAAGCUGGUGCGCUUGCGUGCUAGUAAGCAGAACGGCGGUGUAUGCUCAACAUAUGCCGUCGUCUCGGGGUGGUUGCUCUUGGCUUGCUUAGAUUGUCCGAUAAGUAGGUCCGCCUACGUAAAGUGAUCUCUGCAGGUGAAUUCUAUUCCCGAUUAUCAUAAGACUCGAGCGCAAACUUGGGUCAUACAACUGUGAGUAAAUCAACGUGCUCCAAGCAGUCGACGAUACACGACUUCGGUUGUGUUGAUUGUAUGAUGAAGCAUGGUAUUGUGCACUGCCGUGCAAACGGCGUGCGCAAUGAGAGAUGGAGGACGGGAUGAGUAUUGCAGCGAUAGAGGUGAAAUUCAGUGACCGUUGCAAGACUACCAAGGGCGAAAGCACUACCCGACGACAUCUCUGUCAGUGAGGAACGAUAGCCAGGGGAGCGAAGAUGAUCAGAUACCAUCGUAGUCCUGGCUGUAAACUAUACCAUCAGGAGACUGAUCCGAGACUCCUCGAUUGAUCCUACCAGUAUCUGAAAGAAAUCGAAAGACUUUAGGUUACUGGGGGAGUAUGGUCGCAAGGCUGAAACUUAAAAGAAUUGACGGAAGGGCACACCAGGAGUGGAAUCUGCGGCUCAAUUCGACUCAACACGGGAAAACUCACCAGGUCCAACACUUGUAUGAUAGUCAGGCUAAUGACCUUUCUAGAUUAUGUGAAUGGUAGUGCAUGGUCGCUCUUAGUUCGUGGAAUGGUCUGUCAGGUUAAUUCCGAUAACGCACAAGACUUCGGCUUCUAUUUAGCACGAGCUUUUCACAAAGUUUCGUCGUCUGCCGGUGGUCGCAAGCCGCGGGUAGACUAGCUGCAUAGAAGGACUGCAAACGUUUACAGUUUGAGGAAGGGCGAAGCUAUAGCAGGUCUGUGAUGCUCUUAGAUGUUCUGGGCAGCACGCGUAUUACAAUGUUAGCAACAAAGAGCUUUCGACCGGAUGGUACUCCAUUCGGUAACCUACUCCAAGCUUUUUUGCUUUGUGACGGAGACGGCAAUCUCACAAUCGCUAACGUGACUGGGAUCGUCGGUUGUAAAUCCGACGUUAACGAGGAAUUCCUAGUAGGUAUGUGUCAUCAUCACAUGUCGAUUAUGUCCCUGCCCUUUGUACACACCGCCCGUCGCUCCUACCGAUGGAACUCAAUGGCGAAGAGCACCGAGUGGUAGCUUGCUGCUGCAAAAUGUUCUAAACCUUUUUGUUUGUAGGAAGGAGAAGUCG